UAUCUCUGUAGAGUCUGCAUAUCAAUAAGCGGAGGAAAAGAAACUAACAAGGAUUCCCUUAGUAACGGCGAGUGAAGUGGGAAGAGCUCAAAUUUGAAAUCUUCAAGGUUCUACCUUGACGAAUUGUAGUUUAAAGAAGUGUUUUCUGUUAGAUGAGUAGGCUAAAAGUUCUCUUGGAAUAGGACAUCAUAGAGGGUGAGAAUCCCGUAUUUGACGUUAUUCUUCUAGCUGUGUGAUACACUUUCAAAGAGUCGGAUUGUUUGGGAAUGCAGUCCAAAAUGGGUGGUAAAUUUCAUCUAAAGCUAAAUAUUGGCGAGAGACCGAUAGCGAACAAGUACCGUGAGGGAAAGAUGAAAAGAACUUUGAAAAGAAGAGUUAAACAGUACGUGAAAUUGUCAAAAGGGAAGCGUUUGACACCAGUGUUGUUUUUCCGAAAAUCAAUUACGAAUGGCUUGAUUUUGUGUUGUAUUGACCUUAUCAGCUUUCUUCACUUUUUUCGAGUCUUUCUUAAUGCACUUUUUCGGUUAACAAGUCAACAUCAAUUUCUUUUGUUGUAAAAGAGUAUUCGGAAGGUGGCUUUCUUUUCGGAGAAAGUGUUUAUAGCCCUAUACUUCUACAAUCGGAGAGAUUGAGGUCUGCAGCGUAGAUCCUUCGGGGUUAGAUACACUUUGUGCUAAGUUGUAGCUUUUCAUAGACAACUUGUUGACUAUGUUUAGUCUAGUCAUGCGGCUUACUCGCUUAGUGCUAUUUUACCUACGCUUAGGAUGUUGACUGAUAUGUAGUCGUA
Molecule: ribosomal RNA, 787 nt
Filed under: uncultured Neocallimastigales
Lineage: Eukaryota; Fungi; Neocallimastigomycota; Neocallimastigomycetes; Neocallimastigales
Description: partial large subunit ribosomal RNA
Rfam family: Eukaryotic large subunit ribosomal RNA
Source: RNAcentral